This is a non-coding RNA of Sus scrofa (pig), 838 nucleotides long. The record is from RefSeq and is a predicted model, not a curated record. NCBI's taxonomy places the organism in Eukaryota, Metazoa, Chordata, Mammalia, Artiodactyla, Suidae.
GGUUGUUAAACGGAGCGCACGAGUAGGUUGUGUGGAUGGACACUUUCCGAGUUUGGUAAACUAGGACCAGACUAGGGAGUCUGACCCUUGGAAUGAUCUGCCUCCCUCCGACUGUCGCCUGGGCGCUCCUUGCAAUCCUGUUUGUUCUCACCCUGGAUCAAGGCCAGAAACUGGGACAGGCGUGCCGGAAGCUUGAUAGGGAAGAAGCUGAGGAGAGUGGGAUUUCAGACCUGGUUCCGAGGAGGGCAGCCCCCGCCGGACCCCACGGAGGAUGCUGAAGUCAGCUUCAACUUUACUCUGUAUCAGGAACCCAUAGAUGGAGCCACACCUUGAAGCCAGUCAUCAGAUGAAAUUACUCCACCUGCAAAAUUUUGGAUUGUGAGUUUCUCUCUCUACCCACAGCCUCCUACCCUUCUACCUCUCUCACUCACUCCUACUGAGUCUGUAGUUUGUCCUCAGUGUGUCCUCCAGUCUUUGUUCUCGUAGUUUAUCCAUUAUUUCCCACCUCCUCUUAUCUUCCUAAACUCUGAGAACCCUUUUAUCAACCAUUUUAGCUGUACUCUCACUCCUGUCUUCAAUUCCCUCAUCCUUCAGCCAUAUUUACCUUGUCAAUACUAUUUCCCAUUUCCCUUUUCUUUGAACUAGCAGCCCUGUCCUGACCAUUUACUCGUAGUGUAGAACCUUGUUUUAUUAUUCCCUGGAAAAACAAUUUGUGAGUAUCCAUUUCUUCUGGUACUGCCUGAGAAGAAGAACCAUCUUUUUUUUUUUUUUAAUUCAUUUUUUUUCUUUUUUUCCUUGUAUUUUCCUCUCUUCUUCCCUCCCUCCUGCCUGCCUGCCU